RNAcentral lists this ribosomal RNA (261 nucleotides) under uncultured prokaryote. RNAcentral describes it as "partial 16S ribosomal RNA". It matches the Rfam family "Bacterial small subunit ribosomal RNA", at positions 524 to 784 of the family's 1533-position model. The record is from RNAcentral.
UACGUAGGUGGCGAGCGUUGUCCGGAUUUACUGGGCGUAAAGGGAGCGUAGGCGGACUUUUAAGUGAGAUGUGAAAUACCCGGGCUCAACUUGAGUGCUGCAUUUCAAACUGGAAGUCUAGAGUGCAGGAGAGGAGAAUGGAAUUCCUAGUGUAGCGGUGAAAUGCGUAGAGAUUAGGAAGAACACCAGUGGCGAAGGCGAUUCUCUGGACUGUAACUGACGCUGAGGCUCGAAAGCGUGGGGAGCAAACAGGAUUAGAUA